RNAcentral lists this long non-coding RNA (663 nucleotides) under Linum usitatissimum (flax). RNAcentral's name for it is "long non-coding RNA (LUSI_LNC003975)". The record is from RNAcentral. Lineage: Eukaryota; Viridiplantae; Streptophyta; Magnoliopsida; Malpighiales; Linaceae.
GAAUGAAAUUACAACAACACUAAAUGGAUUGAAAUUAAAACAACACUAACAAGAGUGCACACUCACUUAAACCUUAGAGCACGAACAUGAAGUUCAAAUUAAUGGAAAUACACAAAAUAGGGAAACAAACUUAUGCUAGCGACAACGUAUUGUCUACACAUUCUGACGAUGAUUUUCACCUUGAUUUGUUGGGCACCUGGUUGUCCUCUGAGUUGUUGGGCAAGUCCUUUGGUUAAGGCCCAAGGUGUGACAUACGGGGCACACCAUCUGUGAUGUCGGGACGGUCAGAAAUUGGCCUCCAUGUGCCCAUCUUGGUUGCAAGCAGUACAAUGUGGGUCUAUGUCUUCGGUCCAAUCCAUUUCAUUGUGGAUUUUAGUGUGCCUCAGUCUCCCUUAGAUACAGAGAAGAUUUCGGUUCGGGAUGAUCUCAAGUCCACCAUGUUGUGCCCAGUCCUCCGGCCCAUCGAUAGGGCAGAAACUAACAACAAAUAUCUAAGCAAUUGUGGACAGCUUGAACAUGAGAUGCACGAAGUGGAACGGGUUGAGGUUGAUUGCAUUGCACACUGCAUAAGCAUGGAUACAUGAAAUCUUCGAGUGCUGGAAGAUGCCAUAAGAGCAUGAACUAGUCAUGUUUGUGUGAUCUAGGUAGACCCUUUAUGUGUGG